AACCGCACUUGAAUCUUAUUCCAAUCGAGUCAUGUCAGGGGCAGAUUCCUCUAAUGCAAGGAACAAGAGUAAUUGACUCUUAUAGAGCCUCACUAGCUCCUGAAACUGUAGAAAUGCUUAUGUGUGCCGGAGAUUGGUGCCGAAACAUUCAUGGAGUGAAAAAAAAGAUAAAAAAAUUGAAGGCAGCAAAAGAGAUUCUACUUCCCAUAAAAUGAAUGUGAUAAUUGGAAAGGGCCUGCAGUUGAAAUUGGAAAGUUGGAAAGGAUUAUCGUGGAAUGGACAAGAAGUUCCUGUUUUACUGCUUUAAUUGCAAAAUUUGUUUCACUUUUUUAAGUAUGAUUAUUUCUUGACAAUUGACAUUGC
Long non-coding RNA from Coffea eugenioides, 363 nucleotides. RefSeq lists it as uncharacterized. The transcript is spliced from 3 exons. Lineage: Eukaryota; Viridiplantae; Streptophyta; Magnoliopsida; Gentianales; Rubiaceae. The record is from RefSeq and is a predicted model, not a curated record.